CGCGGGGUGGAGCAGCCUGGUAGCUCGUCGGGGUCAUAACCCGAAGGUCGUCGGUUCAAAUCCGGCCCCCGCAACCA
RNAcentral lists this transfer RNA (77 nucleotides) under Escherichia coli O25b:H4-ST131. RNAcentral's name for it is "tRNA-Met". It matches the Rfam family "tRNA". From Rfam's summary of the family: Transfer RNA (tRNA) molecules are approximately 80 nucleotides in length. Their secondary structure includes four short double-helical elements and three loops (D, anti-codon, and T loops). Further hydrogen bonds mediate the characteristic L-shaped molecular structure. tRNAs have two regions of fundamental functional importance: the anti-codon, which is responsible for specific mRNA codon recognition, and the 3' end, to which the tRNAs corresponding amino acid is attached (by aminoacyl-tRNA synthetases). tRNAs cope with the degeneracy of the genetic code in two manners: having more than one tRNA (with a specific anti-codon) for a particular amino acid; and 'wobble' base-pairing, i.e. permitting non-standard base-pairing at the 3rd anti-codon position. Lineage: Bacteria; Pseudomonadati; Pseudomonadota; Gammaproteobacteria; Enterobacterales; Enterobacteriaceae. The record is from RNAcentral.